Gasterosteus aculeatus aculeatus (three-spined stickleback) is the source of this 773-nucleotide long non-coding RNA. Lineage: Eukaryota; Metazoa; Chordata; Actinopteri; Perciformes; Gasterosteidae. The record is from Ensembl.
UAUGGGGGGGGCUGAGCCGCCGCCGACUGCGGAGGUGUUCCGUGUCCCCGAGCUGGAGCCGACUACGGAGGUGUUCCGUGUCCCCGAGCUGGAGCCGACUACGGAGGUGUUCCGUGUCCCCGAGCUGGAGCCGACUACGGAGGUGUUCCGUGUCCCCGAGCCGGAGCCGACUACCGCGGAGGUGUUCCGUGUCCCCGAGCCGGAGCCGACUACCGCGGAGGUGUUCCGUGUCCCCGAGCCGGAGCCGACGACUGCGGAGGUGUUCCGUGUCCCCGAGCCGCCGCCGACCCCCCCGGAGGUUUCCCGUGUCCCCGAGCCUGCCAUGCCAGAGACGUUCCGGAGCUGGCCAAAUGACCGUCCGCCGGGCCGCCCACCGGAGGCUCCCCGGCAGUGUGCCUAUCCGCCAGGCCGACCCCCAGAGGUUCCCCGGUCGCCUGGCCGCCCGCCGGGCCGCCCGCCAGAGUUUCCCGGGUGGUCCGACCAACGUCUCUGGUUUCCCUGCCCCCCCACCCCUUGUUUUGCUCUAGUGUGAGCCGCCUGGAAGUCGGUCCUUGAGGGGGGGGUACUGUCACGGUGUGGUUUCACUUCCUGUUGUAUUUUGUAGUUUUCUGCCACUCGUGUCCCCGGGUAACUUCACUUCCUGCCUUGUCCCGUCAUCCCCUGUGAUCGUCUAAUAGUUUCCACCUGUGUCCAAUCACCUGCACCUCCCUUGUGUAUUUAAGCCAUGUGUCUCCUGUGUCACUUGUCGCGUCAUUGUCUUUUGUCACACAUGU